UACGUAGGGUGCAAGCGUUGUCCGGAAUUAUUGGGCGUAAAGGGCUCGUAGGCGGUCCAUCGCGUCGGGAGUGAAAAGCUGGGGCUUAACCCCAGUCCUGCUUCCGAUACGGGUGGACUAGAGGUAGGUAGGGGAGAACGGAAUUCCUGGUGUAGCGGUGAAAUGCGCAGAUAUCAGGAGGAACACCGGUGGCGAAGGCGGUUCUCUGGGCCUUACCUGACGCUGAGACGCGAAAGCGUGGGGAGCAAACAGG
This 253-nucleotide ribosomal RNA is filed under the name uncultured bacterium. RNAcentral's name for it is "partial 16S ribosomal RNA". It matches the Rfam family "Bacterial small subunit ribosomal RNA", at positions 524 to 776 of the family's 1533-position model. The record is from RNAcentral.